Molecule: long non-coding RNA, 4250 nt
Organism: Odontomachus brunneus
Lineage: Eukaryota; Metazoa; Arthropoda; Insecta; Hymenoptera; Formicidae
Exons: 4
Source: RefSeq, a predicted model, not a curated record
CACAGUCGCGGCUAGUUUUGUUGGCUGAGGGUCUCCGGCGGCGAUUAAUUCGAUCAGAGUGAAAGUGAGAGGGGUCGUAUGGAAAAAUGACAUGUAUCAGGUUCGACGGUGUGUAUGGCAUGUAAUAAUCGUGUCGUAAGGUUUGGCCGGUGUCUCCCAUAAGCGACAGAUAAUGACCGAAGCGAUGCAAAGGUUAUGAAACGGUAACGUGAAUCUCCUUUACGUCAUCCGUCAAGGCCAUGGUCGCUUCUACGAGGUAACGAUGAAUGCUCCGGCUCUCCUUGAAGAGUUGCACGAAAAUCGCAGCGAUCAAGAGGUCGAUUCUACUAAAUAAUCGUUUUUGCUCGUUUAUCGAUCGGUUUCUCCGAUUUCGCCGACAGGAAAAUCGCGGAAACUUUCUCCAUUAAUAAGAUCGCUCGAACGAUUAUUAUCCUCAGAGAGCUUUCAUUUCAUAGGAAAAUUGAAACACAUUAUGGCGUUAUGUGUGCAUCGUACUUUCAAGGAAAAAAAUAUCUUGCAAAUCACUGAGUGAAAUCGUCGAAAUUACGAAAUGAUGAUUUCGAAUUAAGAAUGCAAUUGUAAUUUUUCACAAAAACGUUGCAUAUAUUAUAUGAUUUAAGCGAAAAACUCAGAUUUUUUAUAUGAGACAGGUUUUAUACAACUAUUAAUACAAGCCCAAAUGUUGUAAAUGUCGGCUUUUUUAUUCCAGAUAUACAUGAAGACUGUGAUUAAUUCGCAUAACAUGUAUAAACUGCUCAUGUAUCGUUUACAUUAUAUAUAAUAAUUCAUUUAUCGAAAUCAUUAUAACGCACGUCAAAAAGGCGUUCUCCUCGUGGCAGCUGGCUUUCCGCUUGCCGCGAAAAGAAAGCAAUAUUGCAUAAUGGAUAAAGAGAUAGUUGUCCAGCGACUAACGAAGGCGGUUGUAUAGUAUAAGACGUGUAACUCUCGCGAGUCAACCGGUCAGCUUAAGGAAAUCUGGAGCAGCCGCCACCGAGCGACAUUUUUGCAAAAUUUCAUGCGUGUGAGACACGACACACCGAUCAAUACGACUUCUGGCAUUCACAUCGCUAUUAACAGAUCUCUGAUUUUGCAACAGGGCGGUUUAAAGAAUGCACUUAUUUGCCCAUGUACUGAGUAUAUCUAUAAAACUUUUUAUGUUUCCAGUCGAAUCGCGAAUAGAAAAAGGCAUUCAGUGGAAUACAAUCUCUCAUUAAGGCUAACCGGACUAAAGAGUCAUAGAAAGGAAUGACUAUUGUAUGUUGUGUAUCAAGGUUAUAACUUUACAUAGGGUGAACGUAGCAAUUUUAAACAAGUCACUGUUUGAUCGAAUUUCUUAUCUCGGAUACGAUGAGAAAAUUAUCCUUUCUAAAAGGAAUAUAUUUCCAAAUAAUUUUACGUUUGCAGAAAUUGUGCUCAUGUUGCAUCGCAAAUUUACUAUAAACUAAUAUUCUAAUCGUAACAUUCCAAUAUUCUAGUUUCCCGACACGGUUUCUCUCACAUUUUGUAUAUCAACCGUUAAAUUGAUUCUCCGCGGUAUUUUAAUUAAGCUGAUUCGCGUACAUACAAAACGCAAAAAUUCGCUAAAAGAAAAAUUCGAACGGGCGCAACAGCGAGUUACAGAAGUACUUUCUCUCCGGCGGUAACAUUGUUUCGUGCCAAUGAUGGGGUGGGGAGCACCGUCAGUCUCGAGAGUUUUAUGAAAUUAACUCGGUCACGCACGGUGGAACAGGAAUUAUGACACGUGCCUGGCGAGCAGCCGGAGAGAACCGGUUGGCACUCCGCGAAAUCAUUCGCGAGCUUGGGGAGUUGCAAGAUAAGGAAGUCGAUCAUUUAAAUCGCGCUGCGUAUAUCCCGAUAGUCGAGUCAUUAACCCAAGAAUACCGAUAACAUUCUUAUAAUAUUCGCUCGAGCGUUAAAUUCUAGUCAUUCCAGAAAAGAAAAUGAAUAACACCGAUUCAAAAAAUAAUAUUGAUAGUGCUUUAAUAUUUUGUUUUAGUUCUGUACCAGUUCUGAGGCUUUUUGGAAGAGAAAGAGAGAGAAACUUUCUGGAGUUUGAAAGGAAAAUUUCUAGAGUCCUCUUCUUGAAACACACUAGACAUAAUAUUUUAAGAAAAAAACCGGCGGGGUGCAAUGGUAGAAUAAAUGAUAAAAUAGCGAGACAAACGAUGGUCGAUCGAACACUAUACGACGACAGUAGGACGUCGGAGGUCCUUUGGUCCUUCAGGGUGCACUUCACUGACGUAGAAGUUUCUCACUGAUUUUUGCUAUAAGGCCCACUUACCUGUCAGUAACGAAGGUAGCGGGACGAUCGACAGGACAAGCAAAACACCCUGGGGGAUCGAUGACAACACGCGCGUGCUUUAUCUUGGCCGGCCGACAUGUCACUUUCUUAUAUAGCGUGUCCCGCUGAAAGUUGCCUCCACCAGAUGAAGUGGAUUCGGUCCUCCUCAAGGUAGUGGGAGACCUCCUUGCUGUACUAUCGCGCGUUCCUUCUACAGGAUGCACCUGCUUGAAAAUCCUCGAGACGAAGCGCUUUUGAAGAAAGGAACUCAAUAAAAUCAGGUAUACUUGAAUAUAAAUGCUAACGGCUCAAGUUAAUUUGGAACUAUUGCUUUUGACACUCAAUUUCUGAUGUUAAGUGAAUCAAAAAUUUGUCAGCAUUUCAAUCUAAAUAUUCGGCUUAAUAUUAAAGAUGAAUAUUAUACACAAAUUUCCUUUUUUUCGAUAUACAAUAGCAUUGGAAAAUAAAUAGUAUUGAAAAUGGUAUAAAUGAAAAUCUCGCGAUUAAAUUAAUAAUUAAAUCUUUUACAUGUUCAAGUUUUAAAGAAAAUAAAAGCGCGCAAUAAAUAACGCCCGGCGAGGCUCACAAAGUCCAGAAUUUUGUUCCAUUAUUCCGGAAGACGUAAUUGCAGGUUUCAAUUGCCAGGGAAACAGGAUGUACUUCGAUGAAUCUCACAGCGUGCAGAAUGAAGAUCGCGCCGAUUAAAGGCAAAACGCGAAUGCACGGAAUGUAUAAUGUAGCGUGAAAAGUAAUUAAUUCGAUCUGUCGAUCAUAUUCCGGAAGAUCAUCCCGCGGAGAUCUGCCGGCAGAAAGCGAAUCAUAUACUUUCCAUUAUUCAACCAUCAGAUACUAUAUAGAUAGAAGAGUUUAUUACCUACGUCUGCUUCUCCCAGACGGAAUUGUAGGAUACAUACUUGAUAGUGCGAAAUCUUGUUGUGCGAAGGAUAUGUAUCCUGAAGGAUUUUGUACAUUGAAGAAGAAAGCAAAUUUAUAUUGAGUAAGGAACAUAUAAAAGUUCAGAAAAAAUAAAACGAUGUAAAACGACGUGUAAAAUGCUAGAUCUCAAAAGAUUGAUUUAACAGACGAUUCGAUUUCGAUUAUGCUUAUCGCGUUAUUCUAAAACAUUGAAACUCUCAUCCUUCUCUCUUUCGUUUCCGGGAGACGAACUCUGAGAAGUUGACAAGACAUCUUUAUUAAAAACGGUGAAAUCUCGCUCUGAGAUUUGUAAUGCUUCUUUUCUUUCUCCAUUUGCGAAAUGCUCGAGUGGAAUUCACUUCCCUAUUUUGAAAGUGUCGCGAUUCUUUCUCUCGGAAUAAUUGCAAAAUGAAAAUUUGCAAAAACUGUUCACAGAAAUGAGGAGAGGAAUUUAGAAAGAUCUCUGAGCACAACCAUAUACUUAUCUGUUAUAUAUUUCUAAUAUAUUUUUUCUAUUUAUAGUUUCUUCUUAGUCGUUAUCUUCGGUGUUUUGCAACAACGCAAUUCUGCUCUAACACGAUCUCACGUGACAUCUCCAUGCGUGAGGAACAUCUCCAAAGACGCAUAAAGUAUGGGAAGCUAAAAAUGAUUACUAGACGGAUGUUACUGGAUCGAUUGACGUAAUAAUCACGCAUUCGAGCGUGAAGAGAAUUCCAACAAGAUCAUAAAUUAAGCGGGCGAGUCGACAAUUAGCUAAGAAUAACAAAGAUAAUCACUUUCCGAUAUCUUGGAAUACUUGGACAAUGACAUAACUAGAACAUAAGAUGACGGAGCAAUAUGUAAAAUAUGGAGCAGUGAUCUACAAAGUAACGGCCAAUAACGUUUCCACGAAAUACCUGACAUUAUCAUUCCGCUUGAGAAACGAUCCCGAUAGCGAAGCGGACAUUCGGACUCCGUUGCACGCGGAGACGCGUACAAGAAACACUUUCACCGAGCGUUUGGGCCUGAUGGAGAAAGUUCCUUCAACCUGUGUUACACCCUUAUUAACCGGAAA